This 253-nucleotide ribosomal RNA is filed under the name uncultured bacterium. RNAcentral's name for it is "partial 16S ribosomal RNA". It matches the Rfam family "Bacterial small subunit ribosomal RNA", at positions 524 to 776 of the family's 1533-position model. The record is from RNAcentral.
UACGUAGGGUGCAAGCGUUGUCCGGAAUUAUUGGGCGUAAAGAGCUCGUAGGCGGUUUGUCGCGUCGGCUGUGAAAACUCGGGGCUCAACCCCGAGCCUGCAGUCGAUACGGGCAAACUUAAGUGCGGUAGGGGAGACUGGAAUUCCUGGUGUAGCGGUGAAAUGCGCAGAUAUCAGGAGGAACACCGGCGGCGAAGGCGGGUCUCUGGGCCGUAACUGACGCUGAGGAGCGAAAGCGUGGGGAGCGAACAGG